This is an RNA transcript of Cryptomeria japonica (Japanese cedar), 511 nucleotides long. RefSeq lists it as uncharacterized. The transcript is spliced from 3 exons. Lineage: Eukaryota; Viridiplantae; Streptophyta; Pinopsida; Cupressales; Cupressaceae. The record is from RefSeq and is a predicted model, not a curated record.
GGGAAAGAAGGCGGUGUGGAUUAAAGUUCCCAAGGAACAGGCGAAACUAGUACCCGUUGCGAUUGAGGUGGGAUUUGGGUACCACCACGCAGAGCCUUCAUAUGUGAUGUUAGUGCAUUGGAUCCCUCAAACUCCCCCCACCAUCCCUGAUAAUGCUUCACAUCAAGCGGGAGUUGCAGCUUUUGUAUUCAACGAGGAGGGAGAGGUAAAGAUGUAAUCCAGUUCUUAUAUAUUGUAGUUACUCUGCUUAAUAUUCUCCUCCUGUCCGUAGCAAUGUAACUGUGAAGUGUGAAAAGACAUUCACUAUUUUGAGUGGUUGUUCGUUUGAAGAGGUUUUUUUUUCCUUACAUAAAUUAUCGUGACAAUGGCAAUAUAGGUUCUAGUAGUUCAAGAAAAGUGUGGCCCUUACAAAGAUUCCGGGUUGUGGAAGAUGCCAACAGGAAGAAUUAACCAGGGGGAAGGCAUUAAGGAAGGGGCCGUAAGAGAAGUUCAGGAAGAAACAGGGGUAAAU